Molecule: long non-coding RNA, 6229 nt
Organism: Gasterosteus aculeatus aculeatus (three-spined stickleback)
Lineage: Eukaryota; Metazoa; Chordata; Actinopteri; Perciformes; Gasterosteidae
Source: Ensembl
UGGCUAAUGGGCCGAGCUGCCGAGGCACAAGUUCAUAUCGGCUCCUUUUGUUCACCGCGUCUUUCUGCCUCGCUUAUGAUUUAUUGUAUGUUUUGUCCUUUUUCUCUGUUUUCGUUUGUGUGAAGCAUCAGGAGCAAAAAGCCACUUGCCGCGUUUUUCAGCUUUAUUUUCUUUCUGCUCGUCUCUUUGUGUGAAUAUUUUACGCUUUGAAGAUGAGACACGGGGGCCGCAGAAACGCAUCAAAUCAAACCGCCCACAGACCUCAGAACCGACGCCACGCUCGGCCCCUAACGGAGAGGUGAAGCGCUUUCUAUUCAUCUCGUCUGACCGUAAUACGUGACUUACAGGUCACGGAUUUUUACGUGACCUGUAAGUGGAUUUCUCUGCCCCCCCCGGGGGGUCCUUACGUUAAAUGGUAAACCUGGAGAUGGAACCGCGGUCCUCCGCCUGAGGCGUGACCUCGUCCUCCGCCUGAGGCGUUGUACUCCCGCUGAACACUUACUACAGUACUACAGUACCUCGAUAUUCGCCGUUUGUACACGUCUGUGCGGUAGAUGACCUGUUAACCCCCAGCUGAGCAGGUGUGGUAAUUGAAACGACGAGAGGAGCCGGAGAAAAAACGAGAUUCGUGUUACGUGUGAGAAGUAGAUCGACAGGCGGCUCCUCACCGAUCCGACGGUGUUUGUACUUCUUCAUGCUUCAUGUUUCUGACAUUCACGCUGACAUUUCAAGAGAAAAUGUAAUAAAACGCUUAUGUUUGAUUUCUAUUAUGAAUCCGAUUGAAAAAUGGAGAAAUUCUUCGAGACGCUCGACGUUGCAGGAACUGAUCGGGAGGACCGGCUGGAGAAGACCCGCGACUGGAAGAAGGGGUCAAAGGUCAGAGGAGCUCAUGCUGCAGGUCUCCAGCCGCUCUGCACACAUUAAAGUUACCAACUCUAUAAAUAUCCGCCUCGUUCAUCGUGGACGGUUUGGUCCUCACGGAAAUAUUGGAAUAUUACAACGAGGAGAAGACGUCCACGGGAACGUCUCUGGAGAGAACGAGGAGAAGACGUCCACGGGAACGUCUCUGGAGAGAACGAGGAGAAGACGUCCACGGGAACGUCUCUGGAGAGAAUGAUGAGAAGACGUCCACGGGAACGUCUCUGGAGAGAACGAGGAGAAGACGUCCACGGGAACGUCUCUGGAGAGAAUGAUGAGAAGACGUCCACGGGAACGUCUCUGGAGAGAACGAGGAGAAGACGUCCACGGGAGGUGUCAGGGAUGUUGCGUAUGGAAAAAGGCAGGACUCAAACACAGAGUUCGAAAACAAAAAGGACUUUAAUAGUCAAAACGGGCAAAAACACACAGGAACAGGGGGCAUAAAGGCAGACAGGAGCGAGGGACAUCCAGGACGAUUGACAACGACGCGACAAGUGACACAAGAGACACACGGCUUAAAUACACUAGGGAGGUGCAGGUGAUUGGACACAGGUGGAAACGAUCAGACAAUCACAGGGGACGACAGGACCAGGCAGGAAGUGAAGUUACCCGGGGACAAGAAGCAGAAAACUAAACUAAAACCACACCGUGACAGGAGAGACAGACAAAGUCACACACAUGAUAAACUCAGCCGAACAAUUUCUCUCACACACACACUCACGCACACACACACACACUAUCAGGUCACGGACCAUCAGAAGAAAUGCAGCGAUGCCACGACGUCCUCAGCGAACUGCAGACAGACAGAGACAGAAAUGUCCCCCUCAGCUGUGUGUGCAGGCUUCUUACAAACAGGAGAACUGGGGACCUGAACUGGUGUCACAAUCACACUGAGACGAGCGCACACACACACACACGCACGCACACACACACGCACACACACACGCACCCACACACGCACACACACACGCACACACACACGCACAGCGAUGGGUCAGUGGAAUGGAGUCCUCUCGCUCUUUCCUUUUGUAUCGAGCGGAUGAGAAACAAGUGCAAACAGGAUCCGCUCAGAUCGACAUUGAUCUGGUUUCUCUGCUUGUGACUCCGUGUUUGUGUCUGUUUGCCGUCAUCACUUUGUCUCACUGGGUGUGUGUUCCACACGCGUGUGCCUCACAAUCCCCACGUGUUCCUGCCCGUGCACGCAGGUGUGUGUUUGUGUGUUUUCAUUCCACUAAUGGCUAGGAGUGUGUGUGUGUGUGUGUGGUCACGGUUGUGCGUGUUAUGUUGUAUCAACGGAUGCAUGUGUGUAUUCCGUGAGUCUCUGUAGGCAACAAAUGAUUGUUGAAGGUCACAUCCAAUCAGGAGCAAGGCUGCCUGGAUAGAACGAGAUGCAUGGAGAUGUAUGCAGGGCAGGGAUUCAAACAUAUAUGUUUCAAUUCACAUAUAUGUUUAUAUGCACAUGAAUGUGUAUAUAUUAGUUUUUUGUUUGGUACUUCUGAUACCAAAUUGUAAUUUAAUCCAGUCAGAAGUUCGGACACUUUCUCACUUAUUCGAAUGAGAAAAUGUCCACAGAGAAGAUUAAAGCACGAGAGGGAACUUUCUGUACGCUGCCGCCACAAGAACUCACCACACAACGCGAUCAUCAGGGUUGCAUCUCUAGUUCAAAGUAUUCUGUGCAACUGUCAGGGAAUUGACAUUAAUAAUAACCCUUCUGGACUCGAUGUUUCUACCCAUUAGUGAACAAAGCAGCGAGGACUCGUACCAUGGUUUGAUAUUAAAUACUACAAUCCAAUUCUUCUAUAUAUAUAUUUCUUGUCUUAAUUGAUUCUCACUAAAGAAGCGUUUGCAGGUCGUCGCUCUGCUUCCCCGGAGGAGCAGGAUGAAGUUCUUUCACCCUGAACCUUCACGUUGUUGCUGGUGGUGACUUUGCAUUUGUCAGGUUUCUCUCGGCUUCCUGUCGUACAUUCAGUCUGAAGGCUCCUUCCUUCACGGAUUGUAAGUGUGGCUCCAUAUUUCUGCGUGAUUAAAUGUGUGUUUGCGUAGGAGGAGGAGGAAGAGGAGGAGGAGGAGGAAGAGGGAGGUCAUAACCCAUUACUCACAGCUCUCUGUGUUUACUCUCAUCUAAUAGGAAAAACAACAUUGAUGCUUCCACCACAUUAUAAAUCGAUAUAUUACUCAAACGAGUUAUAAAUCAGGCUGCCGUGGCUUCGCCGGAGCAAUGGACUCUUCUGCAUUGAUUCCUUCACAGAUUUAAUAACAGCGUAGAGGAUCACUGGGCUGCAAUGUGAAGUGGAUGUAAUCACACCUCGGCCCAUUAAACGGGCCUCUGGCCUGGUGCUCGGUCGGCUGCCGGCCUCCGGGGGCCUCCGGGGGCCUCGGCCUGUGAACACCAUCGUUGCUUGGUGCGCGUCCGGGACGUCCCCGAUAUCGCUGAUAACUCAAAUCCCCGGGAGGACGCGUUCUCGGCAUCGAGCGUCGACUCAAAAUACGCAAUCAUGUCGUGAUUUAAUAGAAAAUAAUCGGACGAAAAGGAUCGUUUUUGUGACGGUGUGCGAGGAAGUUCUUCCCCCUCGUUGUUCUCCUGGUAGCCUCUGGUCAAAACGCAACCAAGCCACUGAGUACGUGAACCGAUCCAAAUAUCACUAAAGUCAUCGACACAAGCGCUUAACGGAAUAACACAGCGGCAUUUGUGCUCAUGACUGAUCAGCGAUCUGACAUCCACAUGUGGCCGUGGCUCAAAUCUCAUCUCAUCUCUAAUGAGGAGAAACGUGUUCACGUGGAUCACAAGCAGAACGCAGAUGUUUCCCUCAGGAGGCGCGAUGACAACAACAACAACAACAACAACAAAACGAGGAGAAAACUGUCACUUCAAACAACGUAUGUGGAGAUAAUUAGCAAACCCAAACAUUUUGGACACCUCGCCAAUCGUCUUUCAUGUCGGUGUUCCAGAGAAGUGGAGACAGAUUGAGGGAUGCAGAUAGAUGGAGAGACUCACUCUGGAGGUCCAACGCUGCAACGCAGAUGCUGGUUUAUUAUGUUUCAUAUUGGAUCUUUUUAAAAUUUCACUCACUGAAAAGAGAUGAAUGUCUCUGCUUCAUUUCACAUAAAAGAUGUUUCAUUAGUCCGUGAAGAACGUCUGCGUUUUGUGUCUUGAAACAAAAGGUGGACGUGGAGCUUUAAGGUCGGCGAGGACACGUCGUCGCUAAUCUGAUUGGACGUCGAGUCUGUGAGUGUGAGGAAUCGGUUCCUUCCUCCCCGAGUAGCUGUGAAUGAACCCAAAGAUCAACAUGACAUCUUAAUUUCCCCAGCGUGUUUCUCUUCAAUCUCCGUCACUCGCCCUUUAUUCUGCCUUUAAGUCCCACUGUCGCUCUCGCUCUUUGUCUCUCACGCACUGAUUCGCAGUCUGUUUCCGUCCUGCCACUCAAACUGAAAACCACACGGCCGCCUGUCCGGCCAAGGCUCGAAGCUAACGGUGCUAACGGCACUUAUGGUGGCAACGGUGCUAACGGCGCUUAUGAAGGUAACGGUGCUAACGGGACUUAUGGCGAUAACGGCGCUUAUGGAGGUAACGGUGCUAACGGCACUUAUGGAGGUAACGGCGCUUAUGGAGGUAACAGUGCUAACGGCACUUAUUGAGGUAACGGUGCUAACAGGGCUUAUGGAGGUAACGGUGCUAACGGCACUUAUGGAGGUAACGGUGCUAACGGCGCUUAUGAAGGUAACAGUUCGCCCGCUCAUCUCAUGUUUAAUGCGACUUCUCUGACUGAGCAGAGUUUAUUAAAUCAACGGUUCCUUGCGUCAAGGAGGCCCAUCAGGUCUGAAAGGAGAUCAGUAAUAAACCAAAUGGUAAUUGUGUUGCAUCUCCAUGCCAAUAACUACAGACACAAAAGACGCACAAAAAGCCGACCGAGAGACACACACCAGACAUAAAAAAUGACUGAAUGAAUUCAGAGGUCCAAACUUCUGUAAUAAUAUGCAUCAUGACUACGAGACGCUGUCUCCCUCCCACACUGUCUCUCGCCCUCUUUCUCUCUCUCAGACACAUUUUUCUGGGGGCGAACAAGUUUGCUGCCUUGCUCAAAGGCUUCUAAAGAAGUAAACCACCCACCUUCUGGUCCCUGGCUCCCAGUGGGAGAGAAACACUGAGGGGCGGUGGGGUGGGGGGCUCCCGGGCGACUCCGGAUGUCCAAUUUUUCAUGACUUUAUAAUUUGCAGAAUGUGGCAUUUGAGACUUCCUACGGGGGUGUUUUGUAUUCCCACCAUCACUCUCGCUCUGUGCGCGGUUCGAUUUUUAACAUUUGGCAGCAUAUUAUUCAAUGUGAGCGAAAACAGCGCUCAUAUUUAAUCAUGAACCAACUUCCUAUUCAUGCAAAUGAAUGUUCCACUCUGCUUCCUGCGUCUGAAAUAAAGACCCAUCUGUAUUUUUAUAAAGACGUCUCUGGGUGAAGUAUUCAUUUAUUAGCAUGAACUCACACACACACUGUCCUUCAUUUGGACUCAACACCGUCCUGCUGCCCCACAAACUCACUGAACAAUAAUCACAUCACGUCUGAGAGGAACCCGACGAAAACACCACGGCUCCCGUUUGAGAACUGCAGCGACCAGCGGCUGAAAAUAAGCCUUUUGAAAAAUAAAUAACAAGAUUGAGAUUACAAAUUUGAAUAAUUUCAAUGGAAAAAAAGACGGUUGAAGCUCAUUAAUGUGUCAGUUUUGUUAAAGCUACGAAUGGUAACUUUAGUAAAAAUACACAUUUGCUCACAUUUACUUCGUGAACUGGUCCUGAGAGCAUUACACUCCAGGUGUGAGGUCUCAACCCCGGCGUGGCAGCAGGAGGCCGCGUCCUCCGGAGCCAAUCAGCAGAAUUCUAAACAACUGCGAGGGAGGACGCGUCCCCCCGGAGCCAAUCACCGAAAUUCGGAACACCCACGAGAGGACCUAUAAGAGCAGGCCGACGCAGCGACUGAGUUGUGAGGUAUUAUGACUACGCGUCUUUGCUGAUCCCCUUUGUUUCGCUGCCCCUGAAUUCCCGCGUAUUGACCUUCCGCCUCUCGACCACGAACCUGCCUUCUCCCUGGACCAGGUCCAUCUUUUGCCAUCCCGUGUCCCCGAACCUCUGCCCGUCCCCGGAUUCCCCGUUUAGCCUCAUCCCUUGAGACUACAGUUGCCUGUCGUCCCUAAAUAAACAUUGAGCGCUGUGCUUUUGGGUCUGAGUCGGUCUGCAGAGUCCAUUCCUCACACCAGGGUUAGAACACUUGGGAUUAGAUGUCUCUUUGGGUCAUGAAUCAGAAAACACCAACGAGCAUGUUUUGCU